UGCACAACUCUUUUUUCAUAUCAGAAAAAGCUUACUGUAAAGACUGACACAGACAGGUGCAAAAAAUAAAUCCUCUUUUGCAACCCAGAACUCAUUCUUCAGUAUGAGUUUUGAUAUACAUACAUAUAUAUC
This is a small nucleolar RNA of Tupaia belangeri (northern tree shrew), 132 nucleotides long. Lineage: Eukaryota; Metazoa; Chordata; Mammalia; Scandentia; Tupaiidae. The record is from Ensembl.